AAACUUGUCAAUGCGGGAAACCGCGAACAGGGGAGUCCAAGUGCUUGCACUUUGUGUAAGCUGUUCGGUGUCUGAAAAAACAGCCGAAGAAGGGCUGUAGACA
Molecule: ribosomal RNA, 103 nt
Filed under: uncultured archaeon
Lineage: Archaea
Description: partial 16S ribosomal RNA
Source: RNAcentral